AAAAAAAUGGCACAUGCAACAUCUUCUAUACUACACAUUUCUUCUUCCAUUAAUGGUGAAACAAAAUCUUUAUCUUCAUCUUCUCAACUUAGAGGAAAUUAUCCUUUUCAUCUCCCUAGUAGUAAUAAUGCAAACUUUAGUAAGAAGCUUGUAAUCUACGCGAAAAGAUUAUCGGGUUUGGAGGAGGCCUUGAGGAUUAGAAGGGAACGUGAGCUUCGUGGUUCUACCACCGCAACAAGAAGACCACCUUUAAGGCGCGGAAGAGUAUCGCAACGGCUUCCUGUGCCUGAUGACAUACCAAAACCUCCAUAUGUAGGUUCAAGAGAGUUACCAGAAAUUUCAAGUGAACAUCAGAUCCAUGAUGCUGAAGGAAUAGCUCGCAUGAGGGCUGCAUGUGAGUUGGCUGCACGGGUGGUUGACUAUGCAGGAACUUUGGUUAGGCCUUCAGUAACAACAAAUGAAAUUGACAAAGCUGUGCAUCAAAUGAUAAUCGAUGCUGGCGCUUAUCCAUCUCCCUUAGGCUAUGGGGGAUUUCCAAAGAGUGUGUGCACAUCCGUCAAUGAGUGUAUGUGUCAUGGAAUACCUGACUCACGGCAGCUGCAGGAUGGAGACAUAAUAAACAUUGACGUGACCGUUUACCUGAAUGGUUAUCAUGGAGAUACGUCAAAGACCUUUUUCUGUGGUGACGUGAGUGAAUCCAUAAAGCGGCUUGUAAAGGUGACUGAGGAGUGCUUGCACUAUGGAAUUGCUGUUUGCAGAGAUGGUGCUCUUUAUAGGAAGAUAGGAAAGAGGAUCAGUGAACAUGCUGAAAAAUUUGGUUAUGGUGUUGUUGAUCGUUUUGUUGGACAUGGUAUUGGGACAGUAUUUCACUCUGAACCACUCAUAUUUCAUCACCGGAAUGACAAGUCCGGCUCCAUGGUUGAAGGGCAAACAUUUACUAUCGAACCAAUUCUCACAUUGGGAAGCACAGAAUGUGUAACAUGGGAAGAUAACUGGACAACUCUGACUGCUGAUGGUAGCCCUGCUGCUCAGUUUGAACAUACUAUUUUGAUUACAAAAACUGGUGCAGAAAUUUUGACAACAUAUUAAUUAUAGUUUACUAUAAAGUUAAUUAUUAUGGUUCUAGUUAGUCAUGUUCAUAACUUUAUAUCAUAAUUCUUGUCAUUGUUGCUCCAUAUUAGGUAAUAUUCAAUACAUGUAAUCUUUAUGAG
RNAcentral lists this unclassified non-coding RNA (1211 nucleotides) under Hevea brasiliensis (rubber tree). Lineage: Eukaryota; Viridiplantae; Streptophyta; Magnoliopsida; Malpighiales; Euphorbiaceae. The record is from RNAcentral.